AUAGUUAAAACUUCCAACAACGGAUCUCUUGGUUCUGGCAUCGAUGAAGAACGCAGCGAAAUGCGAUAAGUAAUGUGAAUUGCAGAAUUCAGUGAAUCAUCGAAUCUUUGAACGCACAUUGCGCCCAGUGGUAUUCCGCUGGGCAUGCUUGUCCGAACGU
Molecule: ribosomal RNA, 160 nt
Filed under: uncultured Greenland glacial ice fungus GI685
Lineage: Eukaryota; Fungi; Ascomycota
Description: 5.8S ribosomal RNA
Rfam family: 5.8S ribosomal RNA
About the family: 5.8S ribosomal RNA (5.8S rRNA) is a component of the large subunit of the eukaryotic ribosome. It is transcribed by RNA polymerase I as part of the 45S precursor that also contains 18S and 28S rRNA.
Source: RNAcentral